Macaca mulatta (Rhesus monkey) is the source of this 1591-nucleotide long non-coding RNA. The record is from Ensembl. Lineage: Eukaryota; Metazoa; Chordata; Mammalia; Primates; Cercopithecidae.
CACUUUCAUUUUGGUUCCAGAGUCCCGACUCUUUCUACUUUGUUGCUGGCCUGUUGGACCCCUUGGAUGCUUUUAGUCUAUUCUGACUCCCAUUCAUAUCUUUAGACUCACUCUGGUACCAGCAUCUAGAUCAUCUCCAGAGCACUGAGACACACACGGUGGAGAGAAACGACAGAGAAAGAGAUGCACACACACACACACACACACAGAGAGAGAGAGAGAGAGAGAGAGAGAGCGCCGUACAACUGUAUACCUGUUGGAGAGAGGGAAGCUACACUCUCAGAAGAGGAAGGAAAAAAGGAAGAAGGAAGUGUAGGAAGAUACAGGAAGGACCUACCUCAGACUGGAACUAACCUUUCAUGUUCCUUUGUGCACUGAAGCCUCCCAGUCUGCAGAAGUAACUAACACACGCUCUACCUUUUUAUUCUGGGGCCCACCAAAGACAGAAAACCCCUUUGGGACUUCCCAGUAAAUGUGCUGACUCACCUAUGUUCUUCACAAGCCCUACAGGCUGGUCACACUGGAUGGCUCCAUCCUUGUUGAAUGUGUCCUCUACUUUUUGACUUUUGUGAUUUUUGUCACAUUGUUUCUGCAAUUUGGAAUGUCCUACCCAGCUCUCUGCCCCCAUCCAUUCUUCUAUGUGGCAAAUCAAAUGCCCCCUCCUCCAUGAAUAAGUCCUCUUGAAUUGCCUCAAGGAUAAUGACUCACUUCCCCCUCUUAUCUCCAGGAGCAAUUUGCUUUUAACUCAUUUAACCCUUCAUUGUUCUGCUGUGUACAUCACUGUUUCUGAUUAUCCAAGCAUGCUGAUGGAGACUAUUCAGACAAAAACAGAAAAACAGAAACAAAGAAGUCAAGGGGGAGAAUCACCCAUAAUUCCCUCUCCCAGAAAGAACUCUGUUAACAUUUUGGCAUAUUUCCAUACAUAGUUUCUUUACUAUAUAUACAGAUUUGUAUCCUUUUCUUUUUCCAUGUUUCAUCUUUUUGGGUGUCCUGGAAGCAGAGCCCAAGACAAUAUUUUGGUGCAGGUAGUUUAUCUUGGAGAUAUGAUAGUUAAUUUGAUAUGUUAACUUGGCUGAGCUACGGUUCUCAGAUAUUUGGUCAAACAUUACUCUGGAUGUUUCUGUGAGGGCAUUGUUUGGAUGACAGCAUUUAAAUAGGGGGUCUUUGAGUAAAGCAGGUUGCCCUCCAUUAUGUAGGUGGGCCUCAUCCAAUCAGUUGAAGGUUUGAAUAGAACAAAAAACUGACCUCUCCUGAGCAAGAGAGAAUUCUACCAGCAGAUGGCCUUCAGACUUCAUCUGCAGCAGCAGUUCUUCCCUGAGUCUCCAGCCUGUCAGCCCACCCUGCACGUUUUGGACUUGGCAGUCUUGUAAUCACAUGAGCCAGUUCCUCAAAAUCAAUCUCUCUCUCUCUCUUUCUCUCUUUUUCUCCACAGUCUGUUGGUUCUAUUUCUUUGAAGAACCCUGACUAAUACAGGAGGUGAUCCCAGGUAGCAGGUAUGAAGGGGUGGGGAGCAUGAUACAGGGAAAGAGGGAGCAUCAAUGUUAGUGUAUGCUACUGAAGGAGCUGCUGUGGGCAAUCAGAAUUCUGUCAG